AGCUUGCUCCCUGAUGUUAGCGGCGGACGGGUGAGUAACACGUGGGUAACCUGCCUGUAAGACUGGGAUAACUCCGGGAAACCGGGGCUAAUACCGGAUGGUUGUUUGAACCGCAUGGUUCAAACAUAAAAGGUGGCUUCGGCUACCACUUACAGAUGGACCCGCGGCGCAUUAGCUAGUUGGUGAGGUAACGGCUCACCAAGGCGACGAUGCGUAGCCGACCUGAGAGGGUGAUCGGCCACACUGGGACUGAGACACGGCCCAGACUCCUACGGGAGGCAGCAGUAGGGAAUCUUCCGCAAUGGACGAAAGUCUGACGGAGCAACGCCGCGUGAGUGAUGAAGGUUUUCGGAUCGUAAAGCUCUGUUGUUAGGGAAGAACAAGUACCGUUCGAAUAGGGCGGUACCUUGACGGUACCUAACCAGAAAGCCACGGCUAACUACGUGCCAGCAGCCGCGGUAAUACGUAGGUGGCAAGCGUUGUCCGGAAUUAUUGGGCGUAAAGGGCUCGCAGGCGGUUUCUUAAGUCUGAUGUGAAAGCCCCCGGCUCAACCGGGGAGGGUCAUUGGAAACUGGGGAACUUGAGUGCAGAAGAGGAGAGUGGAAUUCCACGUGUAGCGGUGAAAUGCGUAAAGAUGUGGAGGAACACCAGUGGCGAAGCGACUCUCUGGUCUGUACUGACCUGAGAGCAAAGC
This 694-nucleotide ribosomal RNA is filed under the name Bacillus subtilis. RNAcentral describes it as "bacterial SSU rRNA". It matches the Rfam family "Bacterial small subunit ribosomal RNA", at positions 77 to 760 of the family's 1533-position model. The record is from RNAcentral. Lineage: Bacteria; Bacillati; Bacillota; Bacilli; Caryophanales; Bacillaceae.